Molecule: ribosomal RNA, 452 nt
Filed under: uncultured bacterium
Lineage: Bacteria
Description: partial 16S ribosomal RNA
Rfam family: Bacterial small subunit ribosomal RNA
Source: RNAcentral
GAUGAACGCUGGCGGCGUGCCUAACACAUGCAAGUCGAGCGGCAGCGAGGGGUGCUUGCACCCUGUCGGCGAGCGGCGGACGGCUGAGUAACGCGUGGGAACGUGCCCCAAAGUGAGGACUAACUGCCCGAAAGGGUAGCUAAUACCGCAUAUUAUCUUCGGAUCAAAGGAUUUAUCCGCUUUUGGAGCGGCUCGCGUCGGAUUAGGUAGUUGGUGAGGUACUGGCUCACCGAGCCGACGAUCCGUCGCUGGUCUGAGGGGAUGACCACCCAGCCUGGAACGGAGACACGGUCCAGACUCCUUCGGGAGGCAGCAGUAAGGAAUCUUCCACAAUGGGCGAAAGCCUUAUGGGGCAACGCCGCGUGCAGGUCGAAUGCCUUCGGGGUGUAAACUGCUUUGAUAAGUGAGGAAUAUGACGGUAACUUAUGAAUAAGGACCCGCUAACUACGUGC